CCAGACUCCUACGGGAGGCAGCAGUGGGGGAUAUUGCACAAUGGGGGGAACCCUGAUGCAGCGACGCCGCGUGGGUGAAGGAGUAUUUCGGUAUGUAAAGCCCUAUCGGCAGGGAAGAAUUUAGACGGGACCUGACUAAGAAGCCCCGGCUAACUACGUGCCAGCAGCCGCGGUAAUACGGAGGAUGCGAGGGUUAUCCGGUUUUAUUGGGUUUAAAGGGUGCGCAGGCGGAAGAUCAAGUCAGCGGUAAAAUGGAGAGGCCAAACCUCUCCGAGCCGUUGAAACUGGUUUUCUUGAGUGAGCGAGAAGUAUGCGGAAUGCGUGGUGUAGCGGUGAAAUGCAUAGAUAUCACGCAGAACUCCGAUUGCGAAGGCAGCAUACCGGCGCUCAACUGACGCUCAUGCACGAAAGUGUGGGUAUCGAACAGGAUUAGAUACCCUCGUACUA
This 447-nucleotide ribosomal RNA is filed under the name uncultured bacterium. Its description in RNAcentral is "bacterial SSU rRNA". It matches the Rfam family "Bacterial small subunit ribosomal RNA", at positions 331 to 797 of the family's 1533-position model. The record is from RNAcentral.